AGUCGAACGGUAACAGGUCUUCGGAUGCUGACGAGUGGCGAACGGGUGAGUAAUACAUCGGAACGUGCCCGAUCGUGGGGGAUAACGCAGCGAAAGCUGUGCUAAUACCGCAUACGAUCUAAGGAUGAAAGUGGGGGAUCGCAAGACCUCACGCUCCUGGAGCGGCCGAUAUCUGAUUAGCUAGUUGGUAGGGUAAAAGCCUACCAAGGCAUCGAUCAGUAGCUGGUCUGAGAGGACGACCAGCCACACUGGGACUGAGACACGGCCCAGACUCCUACGGGAGGCAGCAGUGGGGAAUUUUGGACAAUGGGCGCAAGCCUGAUCCAGCAAUGCCGCGUGAGUGAUGGAGGCCUUAGGGUUGUAAAGCUCUUUUACCAGGGAUGAUAAUGACAGUACCUGAAGAAUAAGCACCGGCUAACUACGUGCCAGCAGCCGCGGUAAUACGUAGGGUGCGAGCGUUGUCCGGAAUUACUGGGCGUAAAGAGCUCGUAGGCGGUUUGUCGCGUCGUCUGUGAAAUUCUGCAACUCAAUUGCAGGCGUGCAGGCGAUACGGGCAGACUUGAGUACUACAGGGGAGACUGGAAUUCCUGGUGUAGCGGUGAAAUGCGCAGAUAUCAGGAGGAACACCGGUGGCGAAGGCGGGUCUCUGGGUAGUAACUGACGCUGAGGAGCGAAAGCGUGGGUAGCGAACAGGAUUAGAUACCCUGGUAGUCCACGCCGUAAACGGUGGGUACUAGGUGUGGGUUCCAUUUCACGGGAUCCGUGCCGUAGCUAACGCAUUAA
Molecule: ribosomal RNA, 783 nt
Filed under: uncultured bacterium
Lineage: Bacteria
Description: bacterial SSU rRNA
Rfam family: Bacterial small subunit ribosomal RNA
Source: RNAcentral